Schistosoma mattheei is the source of this 38-nucleotide non-coding RNA. The record is from Rfam. NCBI's taxonomy places the organism in Eukaryota, Metazoa, Platyhelminthes, Trematoda, Strigeidida, Schistosomatidae.
AUCCAGCUGACGAGUCCGAAACAGGACGAGACGUGCAU